UAAGUCGUCUAUAAAAGCACACCUACACCAAGAGAUGCAUGAGAAGAAUAUAAAAAACCUAAGUGUGGGAGAAUGGAAGCCAACCACCGAGAAACUAAAGCUUAAGCUUGAGACCAUAAACAACCUUCCAAGCGCACAAAGCAUACACAAAGAAAAACACUAUCCGAACCUGGAGUAGCAAAUAUGGCGAAAGGGAGAGCCACUAGAGACGUGAUCAGCGAUGAAAGGUGCAACGAGAUGAGAAAACAAAGAAAAAAAAAGAGACUAACUGAAAUCAACGAACUGUGGAGCCAUCCUUGAGCUAUAAAAAAGAACAUAGAAGUCAGAUCACCAAAAAGCAGAUCUUGAAAAUUAAAACGAGCAGAGACUGUCGAUGGUAAACCAGGAAAACAACAUCAAUGACAACUAAACUUUGAUCUAACCCAACGAGAUGUAGUUUCUAACCUUAGCCAAAAUCGAAAGAAAAAAAUGACCAAUAUUGACCGAAAUAAUAUACAACGCCGUAAGAAACAACCACACAACAUAGAACUAAUAUGUCUGAUCUAUAAAAAAAAUAUCAGAUAAUCUCACAGAAAAAGUAGGUGAGGAAAACAAAAACACGGAGGUGAGUCUUUUCCCAGUAAUGAUAAGAAGCACUACACACCAGAGAGAUAAACAAAAUACAUAAAUGGUGACGGCUCAAGGUCAAAAUAUGGGGGAAAGUGCAAAAAAAUCUAAAAAGAGUAAUAUUCAAAAAUGUGAAAAACUAAAAUACAAUUUUGACGCUGUUAAUCUUAGAAUCAACAAAUGCAAAAAGAUAAAGUUAUUGAAAUUCAAUACAUACAACAACACAUUAUUGAAUAGACAAUCUCAUAAUAUAUUAAUAAAACAUAACAUAAUAAAACAUCAAAUCAUGUUAUUCCCAAUAAAUACUGACCAUAUAAUCAUAUCAUCCAAAAAUCAUAUUUAAGAAUAAUAAAAAAAUAUUGGUUGUGACCCUCCUAAUACAUAUUAAACUUACAAUGAUCAAAAUAAAAUAUAAUUUUUUGAAACAUUAUGAUUUCAUGUUAUAGUACGUAUUAGUUAAUAGAAUAACUAUAAAUUCUUUUUGCUAUUUGUGCAACACUCUUCAUAAAUCUAAAAUAUAAAUAUAUUAACAUUUCAUAUUAACGCUGUCACUUUAAUUUGUUCUACACAUUUAAGACUAGAAUUUUAAACUUAUAUACAUCUAAAGUGCUUUAUAUUUUUAAAAUGACUAACGUAGCUAAAAAUGUCUAAUACUGUAACGCAUUCUAGUAGUAUCCACUACAGCAGCGUACAAAAAAUUCUACGAUCUCUUCUACCAUGUGGUAUAAAGCAUAUGAUAUUAUGCGUUUUGCAAAACUUGGGGCUGAAUAUUCUAUGUAUUGUCAAAUUAAAUGCAAGCAUUUCGACUGUAUAUGAUAGUUAUAUCUAUACUAUACUAAAAGUUGCAUAUCCUGAGUCCUAAAGCUAUCCACGUAGGAUUAAAAAAUUAACCUAUCAUAAAGCUCCAAUUCACCAUGUCAUUGCUUCUUUUUUCGAAAUGAAAGUCAUUACGUAAUGGGCUUGAUCGUUUGGCAUGGGGUUGGGCUUUGGACUUGGUAUGUUCGAGAGAAACGAAGGUCGUAUUUUUCUUUUAACAACUAAGAAGGUCGUCUCUCUUCUACCUGCAACGGCGCCCGAUGCUGUUUGGGAUUCUUUUCACCGUCUGAAACGAUCUGCGUAAAGGUUUCGUAAUUAAUUACAUUGAUUCGCUCUCGCUCCCCCCCACUAUGUGUCUUUGUCCUCUCCUUGAUCUAUCUUAUCUUUGUAACACUUAUAUCUCAUACUGAUUACUUUCGAAAUAUCUUAUGGCUUCAGAUGACAUGAUUAGCUGAAGAUGUUUUUGAAUUGUGUGCAGUGUUCUUCACGGGGUGAUAAACAGAGCAACAGAUAGAGGAAUAAAACCUCUUCAUGUGGCUGCUCUAAAGCGACACAUAGAGAGGAUGCAGUUAUUCUUGGAUUUGGGAGCUUUUGUUGCUCAUAUCACUAGAAGAUGGAACCUCAAUAGAUUUUAUAGGUUAUUCUUCUAAAGGAGAUCUAUAAAUCUAUAUAUAUUUAUAUUUGUGAGAUUUAUAACUCUAAAUUACGUCUGUAGGUUUAUCUGUAUACUGUGGAGAUUCUGAAAAGUACAUAAUAAAACUGUCACAGGUUUGCCUUAAUCAAGUUUGUUGUUUUAUAUCCUGUUGUUAGUUGAGCAAGUAAUGUUGCUAAGGUAUAUAUGUUAUUUAUUCUCACGAUCUAUUGCCAAUAUUUUCACUUGCUUAAAGGUUGCUGAAAAUAUAUAUAUUCCUACUUUCACAUCUGGAAAGCAUGAAGUUCUCAAUUUUUGAGGUUGUAUUUCCCCAUCUGAGUGUGUGAGGGUGUAGCAACAUGGUAGAAGUUUGCUGGAGGGAUUUACAAAGACUCAGAUGAGAAGUUUUGAGGUCACAAAAGGAGAGAUAACUCCAGCUGGAACAACAAGGGAGUAGAAACAAAGUAAUUGAGUAGGAGAGAAUGGAAAGCUUUCAAAUACACAGAUUUUCUUCUGAUGAUUCAGAAGAGAAAUGUAGACGACGCUUGCUACCUCGGCGAUCCAACGGUCCAUGAGUUCCAAGAAGCUUGCUCUGAGCACCACCUCCUGAAAGGCUAAGGCGUUGGAGGACAAGCCUUCUUGACCAAUGGUCCUUGCUUCUCACCUGAUGUCUCUAACUACAAGAAGUCAGAGUACCCUCACUCUCACCACACUAAUAUGUUCGGUCUGCACGGCGCCGUUGCGAUACGCCUGAGAUGCAUCCACACUGGGGAUGCUGAUUUCGUCUUGGAGUUUUUUUUGCCUAAGGACUGUGAUAAUAUGGAGGAGCAGAGGAAAAUGUUGAACGCUCUUUUGACCAUUUUGGCUCAUGUGCCUAGGAGCUUGAGGACUGUUACGGAUAAGGAGCUCGAAGAAGAGAGUGAAGUGGUGGAAAGGGAGGAGGUAGUGACGCCUAAGAUAGAGAACACAUCAGAGCUACAUCAUAGUAAUCCUCAGAAUCUUGGAUUUGUGUUUGAUGGAGGAGACAAGCUGCCAAAUGAUGGUUUUGGUUUGAAAAGAGGUUAUCACUACACUAAAGAUACUAAUAUCAAUGAGAGCAACACUUUUCACCAGUGGUGGUUUUAAUAGUAUGGCUGAGAAGAAGCGUACAAAGGCAGAUAAAACCAUCACUUUGGAUGUUCUUAGACAGUACUUCGCUGGGAGUCUUAAAGAUGCAGCCAAGAGUAUUGGUGGUAAGCAGCAUUUGAUUUAGUUUUUGUCUGAAUGUCCUAAAAAUGUUUUCAUAUAAAACCAUGACAUUUUCAUAUAAAAAUGUUUUUUUCUUCUUUAAGAAAAUCUAUGUGUAGUUAACACAUAAACCAUUAUUCCCAUGUUUGUUUCGCAGUGGUAUUGUUGUGUCGAUGGUGAUGCAAUAUGCAGAGAAUAUUGUAAAGGUAAGAAACUGGCAAAUGCAUAUUCAGUUCGCCAGCAGAUUCCCUUAAGUAGUAGUCACUUUUGUAUAUAAGGUUUAACGUUUAUCAAUAUGUACGUAGGUUUAUUCAACAUUAGUGCCACUGCUUCUCACUGCAGUUGUCUUUGUAUACUUAUUCAGUUUUCAUGUUUCAUUAACCUUCUUCCUGGGCUCAAGUAAGUUAACUGCAUUUGCCUCUGUUCUGUCAAUACAAUCCAUCUAACCAUUUCACAUAAAGUAGCCUAACAUACGAGCUGAUGUUUACUGUGUUCGCACUUUGCAGGAGAUGUGAAAUGGUCUACUGGAAUCUUUUAGGAUGAAAUGUAUAUAUUGUUAUGUAAUUUUUUUGUCCUAUUGAUAUGUAAAGCAAAACAAAGGAGUUU
Brassica napus (rape) is the source of this 3886-nucleotide long non-coding RNA. RefSeq lists it as uncharacterized. The transcript has 4 exons. Lineage: Eukaryota; Viridiplantae; Streptophyta; Magnoliopsida; Brassicales; Brassicaceae. The record is from RefSeq and is a predicted model, not a curated record.